UCUUGGUUAAUAUUUUGAGCAUACACAUAAUUGUAAGAUUUAUUAUCCGUUUAUCACAUGAUAAAGAAUGACUUUCUCUGUAAAAAUGGUCUUUAAAGUUCUAAACAAAAGUGACAUACUCUGUGAUAUAUUAUGUAAAGAUAUAUUUUUUAUAUAAAUUUUCACAUAUAUUGCCAUUUUUUUUUCAAUAGUAUUCUCCUAAACAUGCUGCUCUAUUGUUUCAAAAGUCUCCAACCAGAAUCUGUCAUACAAAUGGAACUCAUGUCAAUCAGAAUUCUGUUAAUUGUUUACAGGCUAGUUCUUAUCCAGGAAGCAAUUCCAGAUUUUACCAAAGAUUUUAGUAGAUAGCCUGGAUAGGGUCCUUAACUUCUUUAAUCUAUAAAUGUUUUUGGCAUAUUUCUGCACCUUCAACCAGAGAAACAUGACAAUAAAGUCUUAGAUUGAGGGAACAUGCAUCAAUUUCGAAAUACAUAUCAUGCAGUUGACCUCUAAAGAAUAGAGAGCCAUUGUAGCUGAAAAAAAAUAUUUUUGGUAGAGCCGUAGUAUUACAGCCCCCACAUGGUAAAGGUUUACAAUUAAUUCUUAUUUAUUUGAACACUUUGAUCUUUAUGUAAAAUAAUCUUCAGAAUAUGUCUCACAGCUUAAACAGACAAACAUCUAUGAAUAAACAGACUUGUGAAAUAUGUCCAUUUGCAUGACAGACCUAUGAAAAAUUCUAACGUUCAAUUUCUUACAACAUAAUCAGACCAAAGUUGGAAUGUCAAAUGUAAAAUUUGCAUACAAAGUAUCAAAACAUAACUUAUCUAAUAUUCAUUAUAACAGCAUUG
Molecule: long non-coding RNA, 827 nt
Filed under: Mytilus galloprovincialis (Mediterranean mussel)
Lineage: Eukaryota; Metazoa; Mollusca; Bivalvia; Mytilida; Mytilidae
Source: RNAcentral